AAUCUGCAUAGAGGAAUGACAGGCAUCCGCUGGGCAGGAUCCGCCUCGCCGGCUGCGGCCGGCCGGGCUGGGAGACCCGCGCCGGGGAGAGGGCGAGGGAAUCCGGCGGGCAGCUCCGCGCAGCCGGGAAAUGAGCGCUUGGAAACCUGCCUGCGGACGGACCCAUGCUCGAAGGACCAAAGGAGCCGCGUGAUCGCCAGACCUGGCCCCGCGACCCCGGACAUGGGUCAGACCUCGGUCUCCGCGCUGUCCCCGCAGCCCAGCAGCGUUGAUGGACUGGACAAAGCUUCUGUAGCAAAUUCGGAUGGCCCAACAGCAGGCUCCCAAACGCCUCCCUUCAAGAGAAAGGGGAAACUCUCCACCAUCGGUAAAAUCUUUAAGCCUUGGAAAUGGAGGAAAAAGAAGACCAGUGACAAAUUUAGAGAAACCUCAGCAGUAUUAGAAAGGAAGAUAUCCACAAGACAAAGUAGAGAGGAGCUGAUAAGAAGGGGCGUUCUUAAGGAGUUGCCUGAUCAAGAUGGAGAUGUAACAGUUAACUUUGAAAAUUCAAACGGGCACAUGAUACCCAUCGGAGAGGAAUCUACCCAAGAGGAAAAUGUAGUAAAAUCUGAAGAAGGUAAUGGCUCUGUAGCUGAAAAAUCACCACCUCUGGAGGAAAAGGCAGAAGAUAAGAAAGAGAACACUGAAAACCACUCUGCAACACCAGCAGCUCCUGUUCCGUCUCCUCCAGCUCUUCCUAAGCCUAAACCCAAACCUAAGCCCAAAAAAACACCUGUGCCUCCAAAAGGGGCUGCUGCCGGGGCAAGCCCCAAGGGUGACGAAGUGCCUCCUAUUAAAAAAAUUACCAAGGCUCCUGGUAAGCAGGCCCCCGUCCCUCCACCCAAGCCAACGAGCCGAAACACGACCCGAGAGGCUGCUGGUUCCUCUCAUUCAAAAAAAACAACUGGGUCCAAAGCAUCAGCUUCACCAUCUACUUCCUCCACCUCGUCUCGUCCCAGAGCUUCAAAGGAGACACUUUCUAGCAAAACAGGGACAGUGGGAAUCACAAAGGGCAAGAAAAAAACUGGCAAGCAGCCAGCCUCUCGCCCAUCCUUGGAUGCAACCACUUCUGGCACAUCUGACCUUAAAGGAGAACCUUCUGAGACGAGGGUGGAGAGUCUCAAGCCUGAGCAGACUGUCCCUGGGACCGAUGAGCAGACCACAGGCAAAUCUAAGUCUGCAGUCCCUCCACCUCCUGUGGCUCCUCCACCUCCUCUCCCCGCCCCUCCUCUUCCUCAUGAGGAGCAGUGUGCUUUUGCCUCAGACACUCCUGUUGUCCUGGUCAGCAAUGGAGCUGACCUGCCCGUCCCUGCCUUAGACCCAAGUCAGCUUCUCUGGACCGAAGAGCCCACCAACAGAACCACUGUCCUCUCAGGCACUGGCUUAAGUGUUAGCAGAGAAAAUGCAAAAUGCCCUGCCCCAGGAAUGUCACAGGCUACUGGAGAAGAUGACAUCGGUCCUACUGACAGUUUUACAACCAAAGAUGAGCCGGGAAAGGUGGCAGCUCAGCUACUGAUUCCUGGGCUGACGGGAGAAUCUUCAGAAUCCUUCAGUGCCCCUGAGGAUGAAGGCCAGAGGGAGGCCCAGGCCAAUGACUCGGACUCUGAUGGGCCUGUCUUGUACACUGAUGAUGACGAUGAUGAAGAGGAGGAGGAGGAUGGCAGUGGAGAAAGUGCUUUGGCGAGUAAAAUACGACGAAGGGAUACUCUUGCUAUCAAACUUGGCAACAGACCAUCAAAGAAGGAACUAGAGGACAAAAACAUCUUGCAGCGCACAUCUGAAGAGGAGAGGCAGGAGAUCCGACAGCAAAUUGGAACCAAGCUCGUCAGGAGACUUAGCCAGAGGCCCACGACUGAAGAAUUAGAGCAAAGAAAUAUCCUAAAACAAAAGAAUGAAGAAGAAGAACAAGAAGCAAAAAUGGAACUUAAGCGCAGACUCAGCAGAAAGCUCAGUCUGAGACCCACAGUGGCGGAGUUACAAGCUCGAAGGAUCCUGCGGUUUAAUGAGUAUGUAGAAGUCACCGAUUCUCCCGACUACGACCGCCGGGCAGACAAGCCCUGGGCCAGGUUAACACCUGCAGACAAGGCAGCUAUAAGGAAAGAACUAAAUGAAUUUAAAAGCACAGAAAUGGAAGUUCAUGAAGAGAGUCGACAGUUUACAAGUAUCUUUUAGAUAGCUGUCUGGCAUUGCAGUGCAUUCUGGGGCCAUGUAACAAGAGGACUAGUGGUGCCUAUGAGACUUCAUCCUGUGGCCUGAGAGGUUUCACCGUCCGUAACGAAGCGUGAGACUCUUUGGAAACAUAGACUGAUCAUCUUUGGGGGAAGCCUCUCUUCCCGAAAACCUGAUAUUGCACUGGGAUUUGCGUGUGUGUGUUUCCCUUUAACUGGUGAAGGAAGUGUAUGGAAAGUGCUCCCCACCUUCAUGGCCCAGACGGGGCCAACAAGCAAAGGGAGGGGUGCAGUGACUGCUGUCCAGCAUGUGUAUUGAUGGUAAGCAACACCGUGGUCACACCAGUUAUUCUCCAUAAGGAGUUUUAAUCAAAGAAGAUGAGCAGAAGACAAUCGCUGGCUCCCUGUUACCAGAAAGCCAAAUUGUAGAGUGCAGGUUGAAGAGAAAUCGGGGCCUGGAGUUGCUGGGCACUAGAAAGGGGUGGGGGUGGAAAAUCAGAAAAAAAAAAAAAAGAGAGAGAGAGAAAUAUUUCAUUAUGUUAAUGAAGAAAAGAGAAAAUCAAAGCAUAAAUAUUUUUGAAGAAGGCUUUUGGUAGCUGAGAACCUAUUAAGAUAUGGGAAUCUAAUCACCUAACGUGGAUUCCUUAAAGACCUGAUCCUAGAAGAAUAUUCUCGUUUCACCGUUAUGUUGGUGCAGUAUAGUACCAUUAUUUUAUGUUGUGCCAGUGAAUCCAAUUGCCAGAAAUACGUCUGAGUGUUUUCGUGCAUCUUUUUCUUAAAUGCAAGAGACUUUUAUUGACUCUUAACAAGCAUGCCUGCCCAAAUUUUGUUGCAUGUUUUAAGUAGCAUAGCUAUACACACUUUUUUUUUUAUACUCCUUAUCUAAUGUACCAAACUUCUACAAGGAUAACAGGACUGGGAAUAAAGUCAGAUGAAUGUGAUCCUGUAAAUCUGUAGGAAGCUUUAGAAAAUAAAUCUUUUGGUCUUUCCCUAGCUUGGUUAUCUUCAGAGUUGAAGCAACCAUACUUGAUCUAAGGAAGAUAAUAUUGACAAUCAAAACACCUUUCUAAAAAAUCUGAGUCCAAAGUAAAAACUUAAGCAAAUGCAAGUGUUCUGCCAGCAGUUAGUUCUGAGUGGGCAUGGAAAGGACUACUUAUUUUCAGGGCUGCAUUAAGUUGGAUUGCUGCUAUUAAAAAAAAAAAUUAAGUACAUGGAUCAAAAACAUACCCGAAGGCUUAGAAGAACACAGAAAGUUUCUGCUAAGUUCCAAGUGAGGAAUUUUGUAUUUUAAGAGUCUGCAGACUGCAUCCAUAAAUAUAGCAUUGACUUGCAAUGCAAAAGAAUCAGUGAGAUUAAAGUCAUGGAAGGUUUCUCUGUGAGCCUAGAGUCAGUAUUGUUUACAUUAAGAAACCCUCAAUUGCCAUCUUGCGAUUUUCCGUGGAGUCGCAAGCACAGCGUGGCUUCUGCUCCCAAAUACAUAUGAUCAGAUGUAAAUACUACCUUGCAUUCGAUUGUUCUUUCAUGAUUGUUUUGUGCUCCUUUUAUUAAAAACACGUGAGACCUAAAAUAACAAGACAAGACCUAGUAGACUUUAUUUUAUUCGCAGAGCUUGGGCUAGAAUUUUCUGAAAUGCUUCUGGUUCAUGAUAUGGAAGACUGUAAUUUGCGAUUUCAACCAAAAAAGCAAACAUUUAAUCUGGUGGAUAAGUUUGGAUCCUGUCAGUCAUGUAUAUUCUGUAGAACCACUUGAAAUGGGGUGAUUUUGCUUAAAAUUAAAAAGUUUUGGCCCCAACUGGCCUGUUAGAAAAAGCCAGGACCAUUUUAUGUCUAAGAAAAGUAAGCAGCAUUGCUGCACCUUUUGCUGCACUGGGCUAUCUGUGUAAUAAACCCAGAUUCUGCACUGUCGUCAUUUCAUUACUAGUAUAAGAUGUACUUUUCUUUUGAAAAAAAUGUUCUGCAUGCCCAAGUGUCUUUCUCCGGCUGAAAGGUUUUGUCCAUUUCAUAGUGUUCAAAUCCAACCACGGACAUUAACUUUGUUCUCAUUUUUUUGCCGAAGCCUUCCUUUUCCUUAUAAUACUAUUAUGUUAUCGUUGUUGUGUCUUGGGAAAAAGUCCAAGGAAUGUAAUGUUAUUUUAAUUUUCUAUACUUAAAAUCUUAAAAUGUUGUCAUAAUUUUUAAUCACGAGGCCUCUAUAAAAUGGUAAAUGUAAGACAUUAUCACUGUUUUAGCAUUCAAGGUACAGGUCAUAGAAAGUCUCUACUUGGUUGAUAAAAGGAGCAGUUUUUUUCCCCACUCAUGGUGCAUGUGAUGCAGGUUUUUUUAUUCCCUACAAUGAGAUGCACCCAGUACAAAGAUGAGACUCCCGUCCUUCAAUAUACGGUUUUGCUUGUAUGGUAUGUCAGAUUUAUGAACUACCCACACUUUUUUCUUCAUACCGAUUGACACAUUUAGAGAAAAGUUUAAAAGAGCAAAAUCAAAAAGUCAAAAAUGUUACCACUGCUAGUCUGCUAUUUAGGAAUUGAAAGCACAUUAUCAUUAGAAUGAUUCUUUAAAUAAAAAGCUAUGAAAAGAGGGGCACCUGGGUGGCUCAGUUGGUUAAGCAACUGCCUUCGGCUCAGGUCAUGAUCCUGGAGUCCCAGGAUCGAGUCCCGCAUCGGGCUCCCUGCUCAGCGAGGAGCCUGCUUCUCCCUUUGACCCUCCCCUUUCUCAUGUACUCUCUCUCUCUCUCAUUCUCGCUCUCUCAAAUAAAUAAAUAAAUCUUUAAAAAAAAAAAAAAGCUAUGAAAAGAAUCGAAGGAUUGUGAGGUAACCUGUAUUUUUCAGAAUAAGGCUCUGUGUUCCUAGCUAAUUUUUAAAAGGUGGAAACACUGCAUAUUCACCCAGCAGCCCAUCCAGGUCUCUUGCCUGGCAUCCCUAACGAUGUGGACCACCCUCCAUCUAAUUAGGCCUCUGCCCAAUGCCAGCAUUUCUGCUGUCCAACCAGUAAGCUACAGUUCUAUGAGAAAAAUAAAUGUGUGUGUGAAUUGGGCUGUUGUAACACAAUACCAGGCUUUUCCCUAUUUAAAGUGAGACAUUAGGCUGACAUAGAGGAAGUGAAUGAGUUUUCCUGAGUCCCCAAGAUAUGAUUAGGGUAGGAAACAAACCCAUAUCCAGGAAGAUCUCAGGCAGGAAGGAACCAGACAGACUGUAAAACACAAAGUGGCCAUUUCUGUCUUUUUUGAAAUGGAGCAAAAGAACAUUAAGGUAGUAAGGAGACACCAUGGGCAUUAUCAGCAUCUUUGUGGUCUGAUGAAAUUAGUCCUCUAAUGAGCAUUAAUUUAAGGCAACCCUGCCUGAUAAUUCUCUGUGUAUGUGAAAUGUCUUGGCAUUUUUUAUGUUUGAUAUAAUUUACCUUUAUGUUAAUUCCUUAAAUUAUUUAAACUAAAUCUAUAAUAUUCAGAGAGCCAUGUGGGGUAUUGGAAUAGCUGUUUUAAGUGGAGGAAAAAGCAAACUCAUCUAUCUCUCGGAUUUACCGAGAAAAACAGACUUUCUUUUUUUGUUUUCAUGUCCUUUAUUAGCAUAAUGAUUGUAGUCACUUAUCUUUUUCUAAUGUUAGUAAAUAUGUUCUGUUAGAAAGUUUUGAAAUGUAAGUGAAAACCUAUUUAAGACAGUAAAGGAAUUGACUACACCCUUCAAAAAUCAUCAGAUAUUGAAAAUGAGAGAUAAUUUCCUAGAACCCAUAAUUUGGGUUUCACAUCCCUACAAUAUUUCCGUGCUAUGUUGGUACUUUGAAAAAAUCCAGUAGCUUACACUUAAAAGUGAAAAAACUCUGCAUAUCCUGAUAUGGACCACAUUUUAAGAUAUAACAGGCAUUGUAUUUAUACUCAAUAGUCAUCAGACAGCUUUCAAAAAUGAUACUGUAUUCACAAUAGAAAAAGUCUCAUCUACCACAUAGUAGCAUGUACACAUUUAAAGAGUGAAAUCUCUCUUUUCCUCCUUCUUGCUCAAAAAUUUCUUUAGUUUAUUAUUUUUUAAGUGGUCCCAGCAGCACAUUAAACACAGUGAGAGAAGUCUUCCUCAAAAUAGGUGAGAUGGAAGAUAUGCUCAUUUCUGUCAUUUCAUCAGUACAGUAGCUGAAGCAUCCCUAAAUUCCAGUCAUGUUAUUAGCCCUAACCUUACUAGUGAAGGUAUAUAAUUUGAGACAAGAACUAAUUUCUUCACAUCAUUAGAGUAUGAUGUGAGCAGUAAGGUACCACUAAGAUGUAAUUUAUGUACGGAGUUGACCCUUGGCUUCUUGAUAUAGGUUAUGUUCCACUAUUGAGCAUUUGGUGUCUUCUUAUUGACGGGAUAUGUCACAUUAUUUUGCUUGGCAAAGCAGAAUGAGCUUUCUGGAACUGAAAUAUGUCCAAGAGGGGAAUGCAAUGGCAAAAGUCACCAUCACAUUAAUAGGACCAUCUUUCUGAGAGAAAGCUCAUCUUUAGGUAGUUCAAAUCCAAGGUUCAAAGAGCAGCAUGAGGAACUACUCUUAAUUUGGCAGUGACCAAAAGGUGGUGGGAACAAAGGUAGAAUAUUCCCAAACCAGUUCUCAUUUUCACUUUCCCUUUAUUUUGGGUAAUAAUUAAGCUUAAGUUCUAUAUGAAAAUGGGAACCACCAUUAGCAUAUCUGGAAAACAUUGGAAGCAGAGUUCACAAGGUCAUUCCAAAUUAAGAAAUCCCACUACAUAUUCUGUAAGAUUUCUGGCAAAAAGAAAAUAAAGUAUGAAAUGAAAUAAAAUAAAAAUAAAAUAAAAUAAAAUAAAAUAAAAUAAAAUAAAAUAAAAUAGAAUCCUGUGGCUGUUAUUCUCACCAAAAGCCAACCUUGUAGGCAGGGGUCAUUUUUAGCCAUGCUAGGUUUUACUGCAGUGUCACUCAGCUUGCUGUGUUGCUGACACAAACUGCACCCCUAUGAACACCGUGCUGUUGAUCAGUGUUUUGGGGAGGGGGUGCUGUUGGCAUUUGGAGCUGGGCAGUUCUUUGUUUACAGAAAUGUCCCCUACAUUGCAAGCUGUUUUAUAUCCUAAGCUCAUGCUGACUAAAUGCCAGUAGCAUGCCCAGUCACCGUAAAAACACCAAAAGUCAGAAGCGCUCCCCCAUGUUCAAAGGCCCUCCUAAGGCGGUACCACCUCCCUUGAGUACCACUGUCUGCUGCAAUUUGAGGACACACAGGGAAGAGUACCUCUUUCAAAACAUCAUCUGGACUGCCUUGCACUACUUUGGGCCCUGAAUAGUUCCUUCCCCCUUUAUUUUCCAAGCCUUCUGCUUCAGUGAAGCUUUAAUUUGCCAGUUCUUCAGGGAGGAGGGUGCUGGGCAGCCUUGGCCGUUUCAGUUGGCAUCGUCACUUGGCUGGUCCAUGUAUGUACUUACAGGAGAAAUUUCAAAUGAAGCAAACUUUUUUUCCUCUGUUUUGGCCUCACAGUUUUACCUAAGAACUACACUGUUGGUUACCGUCUUUGUCAGGGUCUUGAGGAUUAUUGCAUGGCUUAAUCACAAAUACAGCUAACAAUCCACGUAACAAAACUGGCGAUCCAUGAAAAUCACCGUUAGAUUUUCUCCUGGUAAGGUACAUCCCUUGAGGUUCAAAGCUAUCACCUAUUGAUCCUGUUAAAGAAGCAUUUAAUCCACUUGUAAGUGCUUGAAUUCUCCCUGUAACUGUAGUCAUGCAGUUCAACUUUUCUAAAAUUUGUCAAUACUAAAUUAUGAAGGAAGCGUGGAUUAACUGGAUUGCAUGCCUGUUGUUCAUACUUCAUUGAUGGUCAUACACAAAAUAAGAUGAUUUUACCUAGUUGAAACAUUGUGGAACUACGCUAAUGAUACAUAAACAUACUUUUGCUCUGUUGCUUUUUAUCACCAAAACUGAAUGGUGAAUAUGUCUUGAAAUGAUUUGGAUGAACUGUGGCUAAUAGAAUGGAAGAAUUUAGCCACUGUAAUUUUCCAAAUACUAAAAUGUCUAAGUAUCUUUUUCGAGACAGAGCAACUCAGAGUUGAUAAAAGAGGUUAUAUUGUGAAUUUUUAGAUGGUGCUUAAGAAUUCUUAUCUUGUUAAAUACCAGUAUUUUUUUUUUUCUUUUUAAGAAUAAAUUAAAGGGAGUAAAUGAGGCAGAAUGCCACUCCACCCUCAGGUCAAUUUCAUGGUAUAUUAAAAUGCCAAUAAUAUUUGUGCCACUUGCCAAUUUGGGGGACUCUUGCCAUACUGGAUGCUUUUGUUAUAGUUUGUAUCAUUACAUUGCUUAGAGAGCCUUCACAAAAAGAUGUCACCUUUGCAGUGCUAACUAGCAUUUGAAAACAAUCUGAAUAAAUCUAGGGUCAAACCACUUACAUUACUUAAAAUAUAGGCACUAAUUUUUAUUUUCAUUUUUUUAAAUAUUUCUUCUGUGGCUUAGAAAUGUGCCAAUGUGUUCAAAACAUUCUGCACCAGUUUCACCAGAUUUAGUACCUAGCAAAAACUCAAACUUGUCAUUUUUUUCUAUGUAAUAGUGAUUUUUAAAUCAAGAACUAUACACAUUCGUUUGUUAUUUUAGUCUUUGGUUAAAGUGAUUAAGAAUGGUAAGCUGUGAUCAUUAUCAGACUGACGGAAUGAUUCCUAAUUUCCAGUAAGUGAUCUAAUUCUACAUAUUACACAGGUACAAUAUCUGUGAGUGUAAAUAACUGGAACUGUACACUGAUUAACAUGACAGUUUCUCUUUUUUUGUUGUUCUUGGUCUGUACUGUAUUAUAGUAUGUCGGUAUAAAUACCUACAAGUAUACACAGAUAUGUAUAUGUAUUCCACUAUUGUAACCUGAAAGACAGACUAUGUAUUAUCUUUUUUAUUCCUUACUGGUGUUUGUGUUAUUUAAAAAGCAAAAAUUAUGCUCUAUUUAGUUGUAUAAUAUUAUAGGAUCUUUGCUGUGCACAAUUCCAAGUGCCUUAGAACAUGGUUUAGCUUUCUUAAGUAUAUAUAAAUGCAUAUAUGUAUAAAAUUGGGAAAAGUUACCUCAAUAAAAUCAUUGGGAAAUCCCCAA
This is an RNA transcript of Mirounga angustirostris (Northern elephant seal), 9221 nucleotides long. It is a transcript of the gene named phosphatase and actin regulator 2, with no coding region annotated. NCBI's taxonomy places the organism in Eukaryota, Metazoa, Chordata, Mammalia, Carnivora, Phocidae. The transcript has 15 exons. The record is from RefSeq and is a predicted model, not a curated record.